RNAcentral lists this ribosomal RNA (200 nucleotides) under uncultured bacterium. RNAcentral's name for it is "partial 16S ribosomal RNA". It matches the Rfam family "Bacterial small subunit ribosomal RNA", at positions 28 to 238 of the family's 1533-position model. The record is from RNAcentral.
GAUGAAUGCUGGCGGCGUGCCUAACACAUGCAAGUCGAGCGGCAGCGCGAGUAGUUUACUACUUGGCGGCGAGCGGCGGACGGCUGAGUAACGCGUAGGAACGUGCCCCAAAGUGAGGAAUAACUGCCCGAAAGGGUGGCUAAUGCCGCAUACGAUCUUCGGAUUAAAGUCUUCGGACGCUUUGGGAGCGGCCUGCGUUA